Molecule: ribosomal RNA, 492 nt
Filed under: uncultured bacterium
Lineage: Bacteria
Description: partial 16S ribosomal RNA
Rfam family: Bacterial small subunit ribosomal RNA
Source: RNAcentral
AGUGAACGCUGGCGGUAGGCCUAACACAUGCAAGUCGAACGGCAGCACAGUAAGAGCUUGCUCUUACGGGUGGCGAGUGGCGGACGGGUGAGGAAUACAUCGGAAUCUACUUUUUCGUGGGGGAUAACGUAGGGAAACUUACGCUAAUACCGCAUACGACCUACGGGUGAAAGCAGGGGAUCUUCGGACCUUGCCCGUUUGUAUGAGACGAUGUCGGAUUAGCUAGUUGGCGGGGUAAAGGCCCACCAAGGCGACGAUCCGUAGCUGGUCUGAGAGGAUGAUCAGCCACACUGGAACUGAGACACGGUCCAGACUCCUACGGGAGGCAGCAGUGGGGAAUAUUGGACAAUGGGCGCAAGCCUGAUCCAGCCAUACCGCGUGGGUGAAGAAGGCCUUCGGGUUGUAAAGCCCUUUUGUUGGGAAAGAAAAGCAGCAGGUUAAUACCCCGCUGUUCUGACGGUACCCAAAGAAUAAGCACCGGCUAACUUCGUG